GAGGGUGUAGCUCAGUGGUAGAGCACAUGCUUAGCAUGCACAAGGUUCUAGGUUCAAUCCCCAGUACCUCCA
This 72-nucleotide transfer RNA is filed under the name Camelus bactrianus (Bactrian camel). It matches the Rfam family "tRNA". Rfam says of the family: Transfer RNA (tRNA) molecules are approximately 80 nucleotides in length. Their secondary structure includes four short double-helical elements and three loops (D, anti-codon, and T loops). Lineage: Eukaryota; Metazoa; Chordata; Mammalia; Artiodactyla; Camelidae. The record is from Rfam by way of RNAcentral. RNAcentral also lists the same sequence under 1 other name.